This 20-nucleotide unclassified non-coding RNA is filed under the name Dictyostelium discoideum. The record is from RNAcentral. Lineage: Eukaryota; Evosea; Eumycetozoa; Dictyosteliales; Dictyosteliaceae.
UAACGGCUAAGACAAUUGCA